Molecule: ribosomal RNA, 468 nt
Filed under: uncultured bacterium
Lineage: Bacteria
Description: partial 16S ribosomal RNA
Rfam family: Bacterial small subunit ribosomal RNA
Source: RNAcentral
GAUGAACGCUGGCGGCGUGCUUAACACAUGCAAGUCGAACGGAAAGGCCCAAGCUUGCUUGGGUACUCGAGUGGCGAACGGGUGAGUAACACGUGGGUGAUCUGCCCUGCACUUCGGGAUAAGCCUGGGAAACUGGGUCUAAUACCGGAUAGGACCACUUCUUGGAUGUUGUGGUGGAAAGUUUUUUCGGUGUGGGAUGAGCUCGCGGCCUAUCAGCUUGUUGGUGGGGUAAUGGCCUACCAAGGCGUCGACGGGUAGCCGGCCUGAGAGGGUGUACGGCCACAUUGGGACGGAGAUACGGCCCAGACUCCUACGGGGGGCAGCAGUGGGGAAUAUUGCACAAUGGGCGCAAGCCUGAUGCAGCGACGCCGCGUGGGGGAUGACGGCCUUCGGGUUGUAAACUCCUUUCGCUAGGGACGAAGCGUUUUUGUGACGGUACCUGGAGAAGAAGCACCGGCUAACUACGUG